This is a long non-coding RNA of Anopheles stephensi (Asian malaria mosquito), 722 nucleotides long. RefSeq lists it as uncharacterized. The record is from RefSeq and is a predicted model, not a curated record. Lineage: Eukaryota; Metazoa; Arthropoda; Insecta; Diptera; Culicidae. The transcript has 3 exons.
GAGGCUACGACAGCAGCAAAUUGUAAAUACAGCAGGACUUAGCUACUUGGUGAAGCAAAGCGUAGUGGAAAAGCAAAGAAUCGUGAAGUGAGCAGCCUCCGCCAGCUCCGUUCUAUCGCGCGUUGCUCCGGUUUUCGGUGAAAGGUUCUUUAAUUAUAAAUAUUUGAUCUACGCGAUUCACUUUCCGGCUCCUGCUCCGGUGUACGUGGGCUGGUUGCGAGGUCAUUUGCCCGGAUGAACUCCGGCGAUACAUUAAAACCAAUGACUUGUGAAAGAGUUUAAGAAGGCAGUCGGCAUUCCCGGGAACAUGCGUGUCGACGUAACACCAAUUACUGGAGUGUCUACGAAAAAUUCUCCGUCAAGUAUACCAAUAACGAGAGAUUGGAGAUACCUCAACACCUUGAUGUCACAUGAAAGGCCAUUUUUGGCGACAUUCUUCUAAUGACUGCUAACUGCAUAAUCUACCUGCCAGCUUGAAGUCAUCACUGGAUUACGCACUUUGACAAGCAUAUGCGUUUCUGGCAGCAACGAACAACGUCUGCAUUCGUCAAACGAGCUGCUCCAAUCUGCUCAGACACAGAUGAUGCCGGCGCUGCGUACUCUGCUCAGACCCACCGCGAAUCGAUGGGCGAUCCUCAAAAUGAGCGUGAUGAGCACACUGUGGACACGCUUCACGAAACGGCAGAUGGGCUGUGUACGUUGGCGAACCAAAUUGGUGAACU